CAAUAGCGUAUAUUAAAGUUGUUGCAGUUAAAAAGCUCGUAGUUGGACUUCUGGUCGGAAGCUCCUGUCCUCUGAUGAGCGUACAAGUGCGUCCUACCAUCCUUCUGUUAACCUUUAAGGCUUUCGCGGCUUUCUAGGGGCUCAGAUAUUUUACCUUGAGAAAAUUAGAGUGUUUCAGGCAGGCUAGCGCCGGAAUACAUUAGCAUGGAAUAAUGGAAUAGGACUUUUGCCUCUUCUGUUGGUCAUGAGGCUCGAGUAAUGAUUAAUAGGGAUAGUUGGGGGCAUUAGUACUUAACUGUCAGAGGUGAAAUUCUCGGAUUUGUUAAAGACUAACUUAUGCGAAAGCAUUUGCCAAGGAUGUUUUCAUUAA
Molecule: ribosomal RNA, 370 nt
Filed under: uncultured eukaryote
Lineage: Eukaryota
Description: partial 18S ribosomal RNA
Rfam family: Eukaryotic small subunit ribosomal RNA
Source: RNAcentral